This 2721-nucleotide long non-coding RNA is filed under the name Carica papaya (papaya). RNAcentral's name for it is "long non-coding RNA (CPAP_LNC015088)". Lineage: Eukaryota; Viridiplantae; Streptophyta; Magnoliopsida; Brassicales; Caricaceae. The record is from RNAcentral.
GUCUCGGUUGGCUGAAAAACACAAAAAACCGAAACUCACCGACGACGGGGCUCUCCGGUGCGGCGGCUCAUCCGGCUCACGUUGUAGUUUAGUGUUUUGCUUUAGUCAACCUGUAGAGAAGGAAACGGUGAUCACAACGGUAGAAAAAUUACGUAGAACGAGAACCUGAAAGAGUCUCAUCGGAGACGUUUUGUGAAAUUCCCUGCGGCGGCGGCGCCGGGCUUUGCCCAUGUUUUCCGACUAAUCAGCAGAUAUGUUUGCUCCGAUUUUGCCAUGAAUAUAUUUAAAAUUGAAUUCUUAGUAAAGAGAAAUUUUUUUACCUCUUUUGGCGGUCGAAAAAGGCUCCGGCGUGGCAGCGGGUGGCGGCGGUCUCCUUUCCGGUAGCAGGGUCUUCUUCUCCGGUGAGGGGGUCUGACGGUUAGGGUUAGGGUUUAGUGCGAACGAGGAUUAUUUAUAUCCCUCUGAAUUUAAUCUAAACCGUCCAUCACGUUUGAUUUGUACCAUCCGAUCGCGAUUAAAUAGGAAGUGAAUUUGGGCCGUUCAUCGCGAUCUAAUCUGUACCGUUCAUCGCAAUCCAAUCUGACCAUCCGAUUGCGUUGGGGAGGGAACGCAUCUGGACUGUCCGUGUGCGUGGAAACGGAUCUGGGUUGUUCGAUCGCUGGAACGCGGAUCAUCCGCGUGGCUCCCACGUCGUACCGCGUCAGCGUCCGCUAUCACGUGGCACGUCCUGAUUCAUCGGGCCUAGUGACCGGACAUCUGACGUGGUAAAACUUCUCUAAAUUAUAUUUUGACCCCCCGGUUUCCGAUUUUUCUUUCAAAAAUGACCUCAAAAUCCAAAUUUUCACCCUUUUUUUCUAAAAUUAUUUUCAAUUUAAUCUUCCAUCAAUUUUACUUCAUUUUUACUCUAAAUUAAAAUUAUAAAAUUAAAAAAUUAUAUUUCUAAAUAAAUCUUAAAUUACAUUAAAAAUUAAUUUAGGGUAUUACAUCAAACACAAUGAACAGCCCAAAUUUAAGAAAUAUGGGUAUAAACAUCUCGCAUCACACCGAACCCAAACCCUACCCGCCAGAGAAGAAAAACCAGUCGCCGGAGAAGGGAGCCGACCGCUGCCCCGCCAUGCCAGAGCCACCUUCAACCGUCAAAAAAGGUAAACAAAUUCUCCUAUAUGCUCGAAAUUUGAUUCCAAACACCCUCAUAGCCAAAUCAGAGUAAAAAGAAGGGUGAAUGAGCCAAAACCGCAGGUAAGGUCCAGCGGUGCCGCCGCGGACAAAACCCAAAAUCGCCUCCGAUGAACCCCUUCCCGUUUCUCUUUUCGUACGAUUUUUUCACAAUUAUGUUCACCAUUCUAUUUUCUAUAGAUUGAUCGAAGAAAAACGCUCAGCAGCGAAGAUGAGCCGGCGGAGCCGCUACACUGAAAAAUUUCGCCACCGAUAAGUUUUUAGUUUUUGACUAUUUUUUGCCAACCGAAUCCCUUUAAUGUGUUUUCUCGCAGGAAUGGGUAUAAAAUCGGCUAAAACUGGUCAAAACUAACCGAAAACCCCCAGGGUGAGGCAAACCACCACUGCCGCCGCCCGCGGCGGUGCCGUCACCGGAGCACAGCGGUGCCAUCAUGCUGGAAUUCUGAAAUUAACCGAAAAUGAUUUUUAAUACCGAUUUUGGAUUUUUUUGGGUAUUUUUAGAUACGUAAAGCGUGUUUUAAUCCCCGUAGAAAAAUUCAGGAAACCGGGGACUAAAAGUAGGUGCAGUAAAAAGUUCGACAUUUCGGAUAUCGAUUCAGAUAAGAAUUCAUCACCUUAUCAUCUGUUAUAGAAUUGAACCUUAAUAAUUGGUAAUAUAGUAUUUGUAUAAUUUAGAAAACUUUGAAAAUAAUUACAGGUUACCAAUGGAGACGGAACCGGUUAGUUAUUUAUUUGUUGUCCUAUUUAACUGAUUGUUGAAUUUACAGUUUUAAAUACAUGAUAAUGUACUGGUAUGGUUAAUUGAUUCAAUUGUGCUUUCUUAAUAUAUAGAUUGCUUGUCUUAUAUGAUUUAUGGUUAAUUUAUGAAAUUGGCAAUUAAUAUGCAAACAAAAAAUUAAUUGAUCAUAUAAAUUAAUGAAUGGUAAUCUCACUAGAUGGCUUUUUUUGUGUGGGAAGCAACCAAUAAAUGUAUUUUGACUUUGGACAUGCUAAGAAGGGAAAUGUAUUGGUUAAUAGAUGCUACUUAUGUCAUACUGCUGAGAAAACAUGCAACCCUUUAUUAUUAUCUUGCCCAGUGACUUACAACAUAUGAACCUCUGUUUUCGGGCUGUUAGGGUUACGGCUGGUAGUGUGAGUAAUAAGCUGUGGGCGUAGGUGGGCUUUUGUCGAAAGAAAAAUUAUUUAUUCCUUAUUCCACUUACUAUAUUUUGGGUGGUGUGGAAGUAAAGAAAUGGGAGAGCUUUUCAGUGUAUAUACACUAACUUUACAAGAGUUAAAGAUAGAUGGAUUCAUAAUUUUGACUCUAUUUUGUUGAAUCAUUAUAUCAAAAAUUUGAACGACUUUGGUGUUGUCAUGAACCACUUAAUUGACAUGUAAUUAUUUUUAUAUGUGGGUGAUAUCUCCUUGAUACCUUGUGCAUAAUAAUAUUUUCCUUACAUUUCAAAAAACUAUCUUACAACAAAGUUGUUUGCCUUAUUCCCCUUACUAUUUUUUUGAAUUUUAUGAAAAGAAAAAAACAAUUAUGUUUUUGCGGGUAUAGAAGAC